AUGUCCAGCCACUUCAAAGGGUCGAGAUUAGGAGGUAUACAAAAACCAAGAGGAGAAGAGAACCAGGCACACUUUGCAAAUUGGCAUUCCGAGAAAACAUGUUGGGUAGAUUUAGGAAACUCAAGGCAAAAAGGGCAGUCAGUUUCAAUUUUCAUACCUUUUUUCACAAGGUUUACCCUAGUAGGGAGGAUGUUCUUGCCAAAGCGCCAGAUGAAAUUUCUUAUACGCGGAUGGACCAGGGCCUUCCAAACCUUCUUCCAUAGGGAGGUAUUAUGCGGUGAAGAAGGACUAUCCUUCAAGCCUUCUCUCUUGUUUCUUUGUAAAUGA
Non-coding RNA from Vicia faba (fava bean), 327 nucleotides. The record is from the annotation of a GenBank genome assembly. NCBI's taxonomy places the organism in Eukaryota, Viridiplantae, Streptophyta, Magnoliopsida, Fabales, Fabaceae.